UCUGUUGUAAGAGAAGAACGAGUGUGAGAGUGGAAAGUUCACGCUGUGACGGUAUCUUACCAGAAAGGGACGGCUAACUACGUGCCAGCAGCCGCGGUAAUACGUAGGUCCCGAGCGUUGUCCGGAUUUAUUGGGCGUUAAGCGAGCGCAGGCGGUUAGAUAAGUCUGAAGUUAAAGGCUGUGGCUUAACCAUAGUACGCUUUGGAAACUGUUUAACUUGAGUGCAAGAGGGGAGAGUGGAAUUCCAUGUGUAGCGGUGAAAUGCGUAGAUAUAUGGAGGAACACCGGUGGCGAAAGCGGCUCUCUGGCUUGUAACUGACGCAGAGGCUCGAAAGCGUGGGGAGCAAACAG
RNAcentral lists this ribosomal RNA (351 nucleotides) under uncultured bacterium. Its description in RNAcentral is "bacterial SSU rRNA". It matches the Rfam family "Bacterial small subunit ribosomal RNA", at positions 432 to 775 of the family's 1533-position model. The record is from RNAcentral.